RNAcentral lists this ribosomal RNA (420 nucleotides) under uncultured bacterium. Its description in RNAcentral is "bacterial SSU rRNA". It matches the Rfam family "Bacterial small subunit ribosomal RNA", at positions 355 to 774 of the family's 1533-position model. The record is from RNAcentral.
UGGGGAAUCUUGCGCAAUGGGCGAAAGCCUGACGCAGCCAUACCGCGUGGAGGAAGACACCCCUACGGGGCGUAAACUCCUUUUCUGCCGGAAGAAUGCCUUGGCUACCAAGGACUGACGGUACGGCAGGAAUAAGCACCGGCUAACUCCGUGCCAGCAGCCGCGGUAAUACGGAGGGUGCAAGCGUUGUCCGAAAUUACUGGGUGUAAAGGGUGUGUAGGCGGGGCAGCAAGUCAGAGGUGAAAGCCCACGGCUUAACCGUGGAAGUGCCUUUGAAACUGCUGUUCUUGAGUCCCGGAGAGGUCGUCGGAAUUCGUGGUGUAGCGGUGAAAUGCGUAGAUAUCACGAGGAACACCAGUGGCGUAAGCGGACGACUGGACGGGUACUGACGCUGAGGCACGAGAGCGUGGGGAGCAAACA